RNAcentral lists this long non-coding RNA (2717 nucleotides) under Homo sapiens (human). RNAcentral describes it as "long non-coding RNA NONHSAT191585.1". The record is from RNAcentral. Lineage: Eukaryota; Metazoa; Chordata; Mammalia; Primates; Hominidae.
AUCCGCGCCGCGCAGGCGCACUGAGCCUCAGCCGCUCUCCUCGCUACCAGGCUCCUUUCCUCUAUCGCGCAGGCGCACUGAACCUCAGCCGCGCCGGGAGGCGAGCCCGUUGGCGAGGGGCGGGGCAGAUGGCGAGGGAGCGGGGCGAGCUGCUUUUUGAGGCUGCGCACUCGCAUGGCCCCACCUCGCAGGUCCACUUCCGGCGCCGCGGCUGUUCCGGGCGGAGACCGCUUGUGCUGGAGUCGGAGUUGUAACGCUCCACUGACUGAUAGAGCGACCGGCCGACCAUGGCGCCCGGAGUGGCCCGCGGGCCGACGCCGUACUGGAGGUUGCGCCUCGGUGGCGCCGCGCUGCUCCUGCUGCUCAUCCCGGUGGCCGCCGCGCAGGAGCCUCCCGGAGCUGCUUGUUCUCAGAACACAAACAAAACCUGUGAAGAGUGCCUGAAGAACGUCUCCUGAACUUUGAGGCGCUGAUCAUCACCAUGUCGGUAGUCGGGGGAACCCUCCUCCUGGGCAUUGCCAUCUGCUGCUGCUGCUGCUGCAGGAGGAAGAGGAGCCGGAAGCCGGACAGGAGUGAGGAGAAGGCCAUGCGUGAGCGGGAGGAGAGGCGGAUACGGCAGGAGGAACGGAGAGCAGAGAUGAAGACAAGACAUGAUGAAAUCAGAAAAAAAUAUGGCCUGUUUAAAGAAGAAAACCCGUAUGCUAGAUUUGAAAACAACUAAAGCGCUCCAGCACAUCAGUCCCGACGCUUCCUGUGAGGUGCACGCUCCGCAGCCCAGCCCAGCCGGGAGACCACGUGGCCAUUGCGGUCUCCUGACCUUGGCCAGUGAACCUGCCAGCCUUCCAGGACAGGCGGCCGGAGAGCUGCCCCUGAAGGACAGUCCUCUCGUCUUGCAGACUGGUGACCUUCUAUUCCCUGUUCAUCUCUGUUUCUAGAUUUAGUCACUUGAAAUAAGAAAUCUUUGGGGUUUGGGCUUUUUUAUACUCUUCUCAGUUUGUGAAACGCUAACUGCACACGAAGCCGCCUGACGGCACCCAGCGCUGUGGCUGUCAUUCUCCCAGGGCAGAACCCUGCGUUUCUCUCUGUCCACUAACAAGCUUCACACGCAACACAGGGAAGUCGGUUUGACUUUUGUCAUGAGGAGAACUGACCAGCCCUCAUCAUUCCCCAUAAAACCACGGACAGCGUCUGUGUGCGCAUCUUGAGUCUUCACACCUGUUGACUCACACGGCUUUUGCUGAUGACACGGGGCUCCAGUACACAGUCUGAUAAGGACUUAACGUCCUAACCUCAAUUGUAUUAAAUAGCAUUGGGGAAUAGCUAAACCUUUUUAAAAAAAUUUAUUGGAUUUUCCUCCCUGCUUAAAAGAUUUCACCAGAAAACCUUCAUAUAAAAAUUCAGGCCCUUUUUGGACAAUUUUUAAAAUUUGUAUCUUUACUAGAACAUGAGAAUCUUUUUCCCUUGGAAGCUUGAAUUAUAAAUGUGGUGUUUGGCCUGCCUCAGCAGCACCAGUUGACUGCUCGUGUGCCAGCGGUGUGGGGAGGACGGGGCAGGACGCUGCAGCUCUCUCCAGCCCUGUUGGCAUCCUCAGUGCCUGCAGGCCUCUCGCUGCCUGUUGGGCUGUCUGGGGGGUGGCCAUUUAGGGAUCGUGGGGACGGGGUCCACCCCAAGAAGAAAGAAAGGCCCGUCCACAGGCCCGGCUCUGGGCCACGUGCCCCGGAAGCAGGUGUGUCCAGAGUCAGCUGAGGGCUCUCCCCACACCACCCAGCAGGCGCUGGUGCUCCUUCUGCCUCAUGGGACCAGUCCAGCUUCCAGCCGCUCUGGCUCGAGGGUGGUCUGACCACUUCCUUCUGAGUGGGCUUCUCUGGGAGCUCUCCAGUGGCACUGCUGGACCUGCCCACGUUUCUGUAAAAUCAGGAUACGUGGCUUUAGUAAGCAGACCAAGCGCUUCGUGGCAGGGAAAGCAGCGUGCGGGGAAGUCACUGAAAAGUGCUGCCUAAGGAAGUUUGGAAAUAGUCCCUGUUCCAGAUUGCCUUGAAUUUUAAAACAUUUUGCUUUGGGAAAGUAGGUCAGCAGCACCUAAGAUCAAGGAUGCGUUCCAUUUUCACACUUCACAGUCAUGAAAACUGAGAAGACUGUCUUCAGCGUGAACUAAAGUUCACAGGCAGAUCACUGAUCCAGAACACUUCAAGAACUCGUCAAACAGCUCGAUAAGCCUUUUUGACUGUGUACAUCUGUACCGGGAAUAACAUUCCUAGGCUGAAAUUUCCACAAAGAAUAGAACCUGUACCCAGUUCUUCAGGCUGAUUUCCCUGACCUCUUGGGCAUUUGUAUUUGUAGUAAAGUAUUGCAGAGAUUCCUAAGUAUUUUAUAGCAGCCAUCAAAAUUGGACUUUGUAUUGUUUAUUCAUAAAAGACACUUGGUAAUAGACUUCAGUGAACUCUGUAUGAAUGCAGUAGUGUGUGUGCAAAAUCCGCUUCCUGAGCGUAGGGUGCUGAGCUGGCGCUAGGGCUCGGUUGUGAAAUACAGCGUAGUCAGCCCUUGCGCUCAGUGUAGAAACCCACGUCUGUAAGGUCGGUCUUCGUCCAUCUGCUUUUUUCUGAAAUACACUAAGAGCAGCCACAAAACUGUAACCUCAAGGAAACCAUAAAGCUUGGAGUGCCUUAAUUUUUAACCAGUUUCCAAUAAAACGGUUUACUACCUGCGUGUGUUUAGUA